GAAGACAGGUCACCGCAAGACUGGAUGCUUGAAUAAUGGGCCGACUUAUUUUAACUACGGCGAGUAGGGUCACAUCAAUACAUAAUGUCAUAAUCCAAGGAAGGCGUUGGCUGCUAUUGCUCAGACUAAUGGUAGAGUUUUUGCAUUGAGUGGUGCAGAUGUCUCGAAUUCAUAAAAUUUGAUUCGAGGUACAUGUUUUAUUUGUGGUGUUGAACUAAUUUCUAUGAUUGAUACUAAUGCAA
Molecule: long non-coding RNA, 242 nt
Filed under: Lathyrus oleraceus (garden pea)
Lineage: Eukaryota; Viridiplantae; Streptophyta; Magnoliopsida; Fabales; Fabaceae
Description: Pisum sativum (pea) long non-coding RNA (PSAT_LNC008465)
Source: RNAcentral